Long non-coding RNA from Cercocebus atys (sooty mangabey), 198 nucleotides. RefSeq lists it as uncharacterized. The transcript has 3 exons. Lineage: Eukaryota; Metazoa; Chordata; Mammalia; Primates; Cercopithecidae. The record is from RefSeq and is a predicted model, not a curated record.
ACAAAUAGGGAGGGGCCCAAGUGAGUAGCGGGAGGGGCGGGGCCUGAGGAGGGUGCUGAGAACUGGAGCUGCGCCGAACAGCUGCUCCAAGCUUUUCUGCCAUUUGAAGCUUCUGCUGGGAGCCAGCUGUGACCAGAGGAAUAGCUCCAGCCAUCCGGCCAUGUAAGACGUGCCUGCUUCCCCUUUGCCUUCUGCAUG